CCCACACUAUGACAGGAUUUAUCUAAUUCCUCCAGCUCCAAGUACUAUGUGCUAGUGUACAGGGAGGUUUCGGCAAACCAGUAAAGUGCCUGAAACUACUAGGGAUUAUUGCUAAAAGCAGCCAAGUCAGCAGGCCUUAAAGUGGCCAUGUAGCAAGCUCAGCUUGACCAAGGCAGGAUGGGACGGAGUUUUGAGUGCCACAGAAAGGGCAGCUUGACCUCACAUCCUUCCUGAUAAAAAGUGUGUUGAAGUUGCUGAUACAUGCAUUUUAGAAGAAAGGAUGUGCCCUCAGAAAUGUGUCUAACAGGGUCUCAAGGCUGCAAACUCGGGAAAAACCACACCUGGUUAAUCAAUAAUCAGAAGAAUACCUCUUGCUUGACCAUUGAAACGCUAGCUUAACAAGUUUUCUUUAAAGGACAUGUCAUUGUUUUACUAAUGUAUAAAAUAAGGGGGAAGAGUUGGAGGUAGGGGACUCUUCAGGACUGGACUGUCCCUCUGGAUGCAUCUAGUGUUCCCCACCAGCAGAUGGGCUGCCGCUGUGCCACUCGAGAGCCACACUCAACUUCGCUGCCUGCUUAUCCUUCCCAUAGG
Dermochelys coriacea (leatherback sea turtle) is the source of this 591-nucleotide long non-coding RNA. RefSeq lists it as uncharacterized. The record is from RefSeq and is a predicted model, not a curated record. The transcript has 3 exons. Lineage: Eukaryota; Metazoa; Chordata; Testudines; Dermochelyidae.